GACGAACGCUGGCGGCGUGCUUAACACAUGCAAGUCGAACGAUGAAGCCCAGCUUGCUGGGUGGAUUAGUGGCGAACGGGUGAGUAACACGUGAGCAACGUGCCCAUAACUCUGGGAUAACCUCCGGAAACGGUGGCUAAUACUGGAUAUCUAACAUGAUCGCAUGGUCUGUGUUUGGAAAGAUUUUUUGGUUAUGGAUCGGCUCACGGCCUAUCAGCUUGUUGGUGAGGUAAUGGCUCACCAAGGCGACGACGGGUAGCCGGCCUGAGAGGGUGACCGGCCACACUGGGACUGAGACACGGCCCAG
This 307-nucleotide ribosomal RNA is filed under the name uncultured bacterium. Its description in RNAcentral is "bacterial SSU rRNA". It matches the Rfam family "Bacterial small subunit ribosomal RNA", at positions 28 to 334 of the family's 1533-position model. The record is from RNAcentral.